UACGAAGGUCCCAAGCGUUAUCCGGAUUUAUUGGGUUUAAAGGGUGCGUAGGCGGCUUAUUAAGUCAGUGGUGAAAGCUCCAUGCUUAACGUGGAAAUUGCCAUUGAUACUGAUGAGCUUGAGUAUAUUUGAAGUGGGCGGAAUGUGUCGUGUAGCGGUGAAAUGCUUAGAUAUGACACAGAACACCGAUUGCGUAGGCAGCUCACUAAACUAUAACUGACGCUGAGGCACGAAAGCAUGGGGAUCAAAC
RNAcentral lists this ribosomal RNA (250 nucleotides) under uncultured bacterium. RNAcentral describes it as "partial 16S ribosomal RNA". It matches the Rfam family "Bacterial small subunit ribosomal RNA", at positions 524 to 773 of the family's 1533-position model. The record is from RNAcentral.